CAGACACAUUUUCUUCACUACUCCAUUAUCUGGUUUUGUCCUAUUUCUUAGGGAGGCAGGAUAAGGCGUUGGCAUCCUAACUGCAGUGGGUGUUCCUUGUUGUUCGAUGUGCAUAUACUUACAGUUUAAUGACUCCUUAGUAAGCUCUGUGUGAUCUGCAGGUUUUAGGGUGUCCAUGGUUCUCCAAGGACACCAGAUUCUCUGUGGUGGAGGACAGCCUCGUUUUUCCCAGGCCCUCAGCUCAGGCCUAAGCGCAGCUUGACGUUGUCUUUAUACAGUAGUGACUGCCUUGAACAGUAACAAAGGUGAGGAAUGGGUAUAGGAUAGAUAAGGCAGCAGGAAAAGGAGGGAUAGGUAACUGAUCAAAGGAAAUAGAAAUAGGCCUUGGGAUGGGGGCAGGCAGGUGGGACCCCUCAGGAACCUGAGAGGGACAAAGCACCACGGCAGCUGCAAAUGAAGAUGGGAACACAGACCCAGGCUGAGAACAUGGAGAAGCAAAGGUCCUACAUGAUGACACAGGAGGAGAUACCCUGGUGGUCACACCUUUCAGGGAGGCCCGGAAAAAUGGAGGUUAACUUCAUUGUCAUCUGUCAUGGAACUGUGGCCACAAAAAGAGGCGUCUCUCAGGCCAGGUACUGUAGGAGUCCGCCCC
RNAcentral lists this long non-coding RNA (652 nucleotides) under Pan troglodytes (chimpanzee). RNAcentral's name for it is "long non-coding RNA NONPTRT014786". The record is from RNAcentral. Lineage: Eukaryota; Metazoa; Chordata; Mammalia; Primates; Hominidae.